CCUACGGGGAGCAGCAGUGAGGAAUAUUGGUCAAUGGACGAGAGUCUGAACCAGCCAAGUAGCGUGAAGGAUGACUGCCCUAUGGGUUGUAAACUUCUUUUAUAUGGGAAUAAAAUGUUCCAAGUGUGGGAUUUUGUAUGUACCAUAUGAAUAAGGAUCGGCUAACUCCGUGCCAGCAGCCGCGGUAAUACGGAGGAUCCGAGCGUUAUCCGGAUUUAUUGGGUUUAAAGGGAGCGUAGGUGGAUUGUUAAGUCAGUUGUGAAAGUUUGCGGCUCAACCGUAAAAUUGCAGUUGAAACUGGCAGUCUUGAGUACAGUAGAGGUGGGCGGAAUUCGUGGUGUAGCGGUGAAAUGCUUAGAUAUCACGAAGAACUCCGAUUGCGAAGGCAGUUCACUGGACUGCAACUGACACUGAGGCUCGAAAGUGUGGGUAUCAAACAGGAUUAGAUACCCCGGUAGUC
Molecule: ribosomal RNA, 460 nt
Filed under: uncultured bacterium
Lineage: Bacteria
Description: partial 16S ribosomal RNA
Rfam family: Bacterial small subunit ribosomal RNA
Source: RNAcentral